RNAcentral lists this ribosomal RNA (253 nucleotides) under uncultured bacterium. Its description in RNAcentral is "partial 16S ribosomal RNA". It matches the Rfam family "Bacterial small subunit ribosomal RNA", at positions 524 to 776 of the family's 1533-position model. The record is from RNAcentral.
UACGGGGGGGGCAAGCGUUGUUCGGAAUUACUGGGCGUAAAGGGCUCGUAGGCGGCCAACUAAGUCAAACGUGAAAUCCCUCGGCUUAACCGGGGAACUGCGCUUGAUACUGGAUGGCUUGAGAUUGGGAGAGGGAUGCGGAAUUCCUGGUGUAGCGGUGAAAUGCGCAGAUAUCAGGAGGAACACCGGUGGCGAAGGCGGGUCUCUGGGCCGAAACUGACGCUGAGGAGCGAAAGCGUGGGGAGCGAACAGG